This is a long non-coding RNA of Homo sapiens (human), 837 nucleotides long. RefSeq lists it as uncharacterized. Lineage: Eukaryota; Metazoa; Chordata; Mammalia; Primates; Hominidae. The record is from RefSeq and is a predicted model, not a curated record. The transcript is spliced from 2 exons.
UCGUUUCCGGAAGACGUCAGACGCUGCUUCCUCUUGGGGGGUGGUGCGGAGAUUCCCGGGGUUUCUUCUAGCAAUGCACCAGGUUAAGUCGGAGAGGUGAAGAGGAUCCAACAAAGAAGACUGAGAAGGAAUAAUCCAUGAAGUAGAUGGAAAAGUAGGAGAGUUUAGAUCUGCAAAACCAAGGGAAGGAAGUGUUUCAAGAAGGGAGUGACCCAUUGUCUCAAAUGUUGCUCAUAGGUCAAGUAAAAUGAGAAUUAAGAAUGGGCCACUGUAGCAAUGGUCACCAGUGAUGUUGAAACGCCAUUUUGGCAGUGGUGGAAGUUUGAUAAAGUCUGAUGAAAAUUUGAUAGGAGUUGGAGGGAAGGAUGGGAGGAGAGGAAAUGGAGAAAGCAAAUAUACGCAAUACUUUUAAGAAGUUUUGUUUUUAAGGUGAGCAGAAAAAUAAGGCUAUCAUGGGAUAGGGAUUUUGUUAAUCUUUUGUUGUUGCGUUUUUCCACGUUCUAAUUUUUUUUUUUUUUUUAAUUCAAAGAUGGGGCUGAGUGUGGUGGCUUAUGCCUGUAAUCCUAACAUUUCAGGAGGCCAAAGUGGGAGGAUUGGUUGAGCCCAGGAGUCUGAAACUGCCUAGGCAACAUAGUGAGACCCUCAUCUCUACAAAAAAUAAAAAACUAGCCUGGCAUGGCACCCGCCUGAAGUCCCAACUACUUGAGAGGCUGAGAUGGGAGGAUCGCUUGAGCCCAGACAGUAGAGACUGCAGUGAGCCGUGAUCCCGCCACUGCACUGCAGCAUGGGCGACAGAGCUAGUCUCUGUCUCAAAAAAAUAAAAUAAAAAAGAUGGAA